Long non-coding RNA from Lolium perenne, 1589 nucleotides. RefSeq lists it as uncharacterized. Lineage: Eukaryota; Viridiplantae; Streptophyta; Magnoliopsida; Poales; Poaceae. The record is from RefSeq and is a predicted model, not a curated record.
UGCAUUUCUGUGUGUGGUCUUAGCUGCAACAGACAUGGAACUGGUUUCAUAUUUUGUUUUACGCUCCUUUGUUAGGCGGUGGAUUUGAUGGAUUGGCAAACGUGGCCGCGUAUCUUGGCCGUGGCAAGCUGCUGGCGAGAUGCAACCGGCUUGGUUGUGGACAUUCGCGUCGAGCGGCGGCCGCCAGGGGAGUAGUAGCACCAGAGGAGAGCAGCUGGAGUGGAACGGCGCCGGCGAAGAGGCGACGGGUUCAGUGGAUCCCGCUCUGCAUCGACGGCUGGUGGAGCGGCGACGCCGCGCGGUUCGUGGACCCGCCUACCUGACCUUUCUCCUCGCGUGAGCUCUCCCCUGUCUCCAUCUUCCUCUGGACGAGCCUCUUCAUGAACGGCGGCCGUGCCCUAGAUCCAGUCCUCCUCCGACAUAGUCGGCGCGCCGACGCACUCUGACACGAGUGGCCUUGGCAGCCGGCGGAGGAACAGGCUAUGCAGAAGAUGGAUACGUAGGAGCAGGAGGAGGCACGAGAAGAGCCAGGGGACAACACGACUGAGGCCUCGAUUGACACCGGCAAGCUCCUACCGGCAGGCCUCUUCAACGUCGAGAAGAAGGGGCACCGGAUGGCCGGUGUCAGGGAAGGUCGGACGAAAUCGACGAGGAAGGGGCCUUCGCCAUCCUCUGCCUCUACGCACAUCAACAUUGAAGCCAGAGAGAUGUCAGUCGUCAACGACUAAAUGGUGACUGCUUGGACAUCGCCGAUACUUGCCACAGUUGUGCCUCCGCCUCAUUGCACAAUCAGAGCUUACGCGAGCGCGUGAAUCACGGCCAAUGUUAUUUGGGUUUUUUUUCAUGGUGAAAUUUCUAUUCUGGACAAUCGCACUGAAUCCCUGGAUUCCCUAUUCCCAUCUCCUCCAUCCCAAAAGAAAAGAUAGGCAGACUACGUUUAAUGGUAACUGGCUAGCUUCUGUGUCUGAUAAUUUAAUAUGUUUCUCUUCAAUUGAUUCUCCCGUGAUUUUUGACAGCUCUGUACCGUGCCCAUAUACGUUUGAGAUUCUGAUGUUUCAGAUCGCUUGACAUAUGCAAUUAAAAAUAUAGAAGUUGCUCUUCUUACUUUAUUUAUUGAGCUCCUGACUUAUUUUCCUUGGUUGGUGCUGCUUGCGUCUUUGAUUUAAGGGCAGGUUUUGGGCAUGGCCGGGAAGAGAUACCCCGAAAUCAGAAAUUGCCUCAUAUUCACGAAUCUCGAUUUAGCAUGCAUUGUGUGCAGUUCUAAGGGACUCAAUUUGAUGGAAAUUAACGUUGAUUACUGGAAUGCACUUCACUGGUGUACUGUUGUUAUGGAUGGAUGGGUGAGUGUCCCUUUUCUAUUUAAAUGACGAUACUGCAAUGUUUAAACGAACUCCUUUAAAUGCAAGUGUUUUUAAGCUGUCCGACAUGCUCACUCUAUUUUUUGCGCAACAUAUGGUUGUAUUGGUCUUAGAUACUUAAGCACUGCAACAUAUGUUUCCAUGUAAACCUGACAUAUAUAUUCUCAAAUAAUCCAUUUGGUCAAAGGUAUGGUUGGCACAUUUUCGUGCCGUUCAAUUUCCGGUAUGAAU